UCUAUAAAUUAUGUUACCAGCAGCUUUCAACAUCUCACAUCAAUCAACGAUUAGUGGUUACGAAACCUCAAUCGCAGCGCAGGUGACCUAUCGAAUCGUGACAGGAGCAUAUAGUGACGGUAUCGAACUUGUUGCUCGGAUGGUUUUUAAAUCUUCUGAAUUAGUUUGCAGUUUUGGAACUUUUUGUUCCAUUACGGAUUUACCUACAUUAUAUUCUUAUGUAAUUGUUUUCAAUUGUUUUUUUGUUUGUUAUAAACUAGUGAUUGGGGUGUCCACUGAAUGAGUUAGAUCUCUGUUAUACUUUUUUUUCAAGUUUUUGUUAUAUGUUAUUGUAAUAACUGGAUGUUGUUUGUUUGUUUGUUUGUUGAUCAAGUGAUGAGAAAAAUAACUGCAACAAAAUGAUAUUUGUUUGUGAUUAUUAUUCGUAUUUAAGUCUCUGAUGAUGAACAAAUAUUUGUUUAAAUUUACUGCUUUUUUUGUUUGUUAAUUUGGAGAAAUGAUGAGGAAUUAAUUGGUUCGUGUU
Molecule: long non-coding RNA, 523 nt
Organism: Helianthus annuus (common sunflower)
Lineage: Eukaryota; Viridiplantae; Streptophyta; Magnoliopsida; Asterales; Asteraceae
Exons: 2
Source: RefSeq, a predicted model, not a curated record